RNAcentral lists this transfer RNA (76 nucleotides) under Prochlorococcus sp. SP3034. Its description in RNAcentral is "tRNA-Met". It matches the Rfam family "tRNA". Rfam says of the family: Transfer RNA (tRNA) molecules are approximately 80 nucleotides in length. The record is from RNAcentral. Lineage: Bacteria; Bacillati; Cyanobacteriota; Cyanophyceae; Synechococcales; Prochlorococcaceae.
GGGGGUGUAGCAAUCUGGUGAAUGCAGCGAACUCAUAAUUCGCCUUAGGCGAGUUCGAUCCUCGCCACCCCCAUCA